Molecule: transfer RNA, 73 nt
Filed under: Bifidobacterium adolescentis
Lineage: Bacteria; Bacillati; Actinomycetota; Actinomycetes; Bifidobacteriales; Bifidobacteriaceae
Description: tRNA-Lys
Rfam family: tRNA
About the family: Transfer RNA (tRNA) molecules are approximately 80 nucleotides in length.
Source: RNAcentral
GCCUCCUUAGCUCAGUUGGUAGAGCAAUUGACUUUUAAUCAAUGGGUCACUGGUUCGAGCCCUGUAGGGGGCA